RNAcentral lists this non-coding RNA (31 nucleotides) under Rattus norvegicus (Norway rat). The record is from RNAcentral. Lineage: Eukaryota; Metazoa; Chordata; Mammalia; Rodentia; Muridae.
UAUUCUAUUUAGAAUAAAAACUGUUGCCAUC